GAGACAUGAUCCCCUAGAUUUUAACUUGUUUCUGUGUCUCUUUGUUUUUCAUCUUCAUUACCCCUUGGUCAGGUUUGAGCUCAGCUCAUAGGCUGGUUCCUACAGUGAAGAAAAAUGGUUAAGAGAAACAACUAAGAAAUUGCUGUGAUUAUUUUGGUUAAGAGUUUUGUGUGGUUAAUCCAAGAAAAUCAACAGCUUGUUCAUGAAUACAGUAGCAGCCUCUCUGUGGCCCUUUUACAGGGAAAUAUCCUUUCUGGUUCUCCUUUAGGUGAACAGCAGGUGUUGGGUUGGUUCUGACUUUUUUCCUAGAAAGUUCUACCCUCUUCCAUGUCCAGAUGUCAAACUAUUUGGGGAACAAUUCUCUGAAGCAUUCGUUGGUUGAGUGGGAAGAAAUCUUCAUUGAAGGAUGGAGGACAUGCAACCUAUGGUGGGUGGAGUUGGAUGACACGUCAAAGACAUUAUGAGGAAGAAGAUGAAACUCAAAGCACAGCUCCUUCCUCAAUACUCCAGCAGCGCCCUCCAUGAUGUUUACAAAGUGGCGUCGAGGUCUGGGCUGUGGUGGUGAGUCCUGCCAGAGACGACCGGGGACACAGCAUUUGUGGGAAUUCUGUGACUCAAGAGGCGAAAGAUGUGGAAAAAGCUUCAUUCCUGGAAGCAAGUGUUACUUUGAUUCCAAAACCAAGGAAAGACUCAACCCAAAAAGAGAA
Molecule: long non-coding RNA, 707 nt
Organism: Heterocephalus glaber (naked mole-rat)
Lineage: Eukaryota; Metazoa; Chordata; Mammalia; Rodentia; Bathyergidae
Source: RefSeq, a predicted model, not a curated record